RNAcentral lists this long non-coding RNA (5208 nucleotides) under Trifolium pratense (red clover). RNAcentral describes it as "long non-coding RNA (TPRA_LNC002388)". Lineage: Eukaryota; Viridiplantae; Streptophyta; Magnoliopsida; Fabales; Fabaceae. The record is from RNAcentral.
AAACUUUUACCGUGUGAAUUCAAUCUAUCAAAAUCUUUGCACCUUGUUCACUUGUGACAAAAAUGGCUGAAGGUCUAUUGUUUAACACGAUUGAGAAGCUGAUUGGAAAGCUGGGUUCUGUGGUUGUUGAAAGCUGGAACAUGAGAGAUGANNNNNNNNNNNNNNNNNNNNNNNNNNNNNNNNNNNNNNNNNNNNNNNNNNNNGUUUUGGAUGCAGAGGAGCAGCAGAGCACCAACAACCAUCAAGUUCAACUUUGGUUGGAAAAGCUCAAAGAUGCUCUUGAUGAUGCAGAUGACUUGCUUGAUGACGUCAACACUGAAGAGUUAAGGCGACAGGUUAUGACCAAUAACAAGAAGGCUAAAAAGGUUCGCAUCUUCUUCUCGUCUUCUAACCAACUUCUCUUUUCUUUCAAAAUGGUUGGGAAAAUUAAGGAACUUGGUAACAUAAUUGAGUCCCUUAAUGUUGAUAAAAGAAUUUUUAAUUUUACAAAUCGCACUCCUGAGCAACGAGUUUUCAAGCGAAGAGAAACUCAUUCCUUUGUUCGUGAGGAAGAAGUCAUUGGAAGAGAGGAGGAGAAGAUAAUGUUGCUAGAGAAGUUGUUUGACAACAACAUCAAUGUGAAAGACAAUGUUUCAGUUAUUUCCAUAAUUGGAGUUGGUGGACUUGGAAAGACUACACUUGCUCAACUUGUAUACGGAGACAAAAAAGUGAAACAACAUUUUGAAUUGACGAAAUGGGUGUGUGUUUCUGAUGAUUUUGAUGUAAAAGGUAUUGCUGCAAAGAUCACUGAAUCAAACACUAAUGUUGAGAUGGAUAAUGUGCAGCUGGAACUUCGCAAAAAAAUUGAGGGCAACAGAUAUUUGCUUGUCUUGGAUGACAUUUGGAAUGAGGAUGGUGAUCUUUGGCUUCAAUUGAUGACACUACUGAAAGACGGAGCAAAAGGAAGUAAAAUAAUUAUCACCACGAGAAGUGAGAAGGUAGCCAAGGUAUGUNNNNNNNNNNNNNNNNNNNNNNNNNNNNNNNNNNNNNNNNNNCAACUUAUCAAACUAAGUUAUGAUCACCUCCCCUUUCAUUUGAAAAACUGUUUUGCUUUUUGUUCUUUGUUUCCACAAGAUUUUUUAAUUGAGAAGCAAAUGCUGAUUCGACUUUGGAUUGCACAAGGAUUUGUUCAGUCAUCAGGCGAAAAUAUCAGUUUAGAAGAUAUUGGUGAAAAGUACUUCAUGGAUUUUGUUCCAAAAUAUCACCGAACGGUUUGGCAAGGUAUGUUUCCAAAUGCAUGAUAUUCUGCAUGAUUUGGCCAGUGUUAUUUCAAGAAGCGACUAUGUUUUAGUUAAUGAAACGGGGCAACAUGUUGACAAAGACAUUCGUCAUGUCUCUUUUGGCUUUAAAUUUGAUUCUUCCUGGCAGGUUCCAACUUCUCUUCUCAAUGCUUACAAACUAAGGACAUUUUUAUUACCACUUCAUACAAUUUAUUAUGAGUUUUCAAUGGAAGUGUCUGCGCAUGCUUGUAAUUCCAUCUUGUCAAGUUUUACACGGUUUCGUGUGUUGCAUCUUAACUGCACAGUGUCAAUGAAGAUUCCAUCUUGUAUUGGUAGGAUGAAACAUCUAAGGUAUCUUGACCUUUCUUUAAGUCAUAGAGUUAAAGAGCUUCCAAGGUCUAUAACUGGAUUGAUUAAUUUGGAGACUCUUUUACUCAAUCAUUGUUUUAGCUUGAGAGAGUUGCCCAAAGAUCUUUGGAAGUUGGUAAGUCUUCGACAUCUUGAGUUGGAGAGGUGCUCUGCAUUAACUUGUAUGCCACGUGGAAUAGGAAAAAUGACUAAGCUUCAAACACUGACACAAUUUGUGUUAGAUACGACUUCCAAAGACAGUGCUAAAGCUAGUGAGCUAUGCGGAUUAAGUAAUUUGAGGGGAGAACUAGAGAUAAAAGGCUUGGAAUGCUGGAGGCAUUGUCCUACAGAAGCUAAGCAUAUCAAUUUAACAGGGAACUCACAUCUUCAUCGGUUAAAAUUAAAUUGGAAUUCACUAAUUGUUGGUGAUGUCAAUGACCUGGAAAAAGAUGAUUCAAUUCUACAGGACAUAGUGCUGCACUCCAACAUCAAGGUCUUAAUAAUAUGUGGUUUCGGUGGUGUCAGAAUGUCUAGUUUGGUCAAUUUAUCUUCAAAUUUGGAUGAAUUGAGUUUAUUCAAUUGCACGAGAUUGCAACAUCUCCAACUUGCACAGUUGCAUGUCAAACGCAUCAUCAUGAAUAUUUUGCCUUCCCUUGAGUGGAUAGUCAACGACAACAAUGGUGAUAAUUCAUCAACAUUUUGUGCAUCACUCACAGAGAUAGAUCUUUAUAUGUUACCUAAUCUUAAAAGAUGGUGCAGGUGUAGUGAAGAAGAAAUUUCUAAGGGUUGUCGUCAUCAAUUUAAGAGUCUUGAUAAUUUAUCGAUUGAUAAUUGUCAAAAUCUAAUUUCCAUUCCACAGCACAUAGAUAUCAAGAAAAUAAAGCUUUGGAAUGUCACAUCAAAGAUAUUACAACAAGCAGUCACUCAUUCCAAGGUGGAGUUUCUUGAUAUAACUUUAAUACUUAAUUUUAAAUCUCUAUGUGGAGUCCUUCAACAUUUCACUGGAGUGUGUGAAUUGAGUAUCAGUCGUUGCGAGGAGUUUGAUCCGUGCAAUGAUGAAGAUGGUUGUUACAGCAUGAAAUGGAAAGAACUCACAAACCUCAAAGUGUUGACUUUUGAAGGAAUCCCAAAAAUGAAAUAUUUGCCUGAGGGGCUUCAGCACAUUACCACUUUACAAACUCUAAGAAUCAAAGAUUGUGUCAACCUUACAUCUAUACCUGAAUGGGCAACAUCACUGCAAGUGUUAGAUAUCAAAAAAUGACCGAUGGUGACGUCUCUGCCUGCGGCGGUGGAAGAUCAAUAGGUCCGAUUUGUGAUUUAUCACGUUCUCUGCUGUGGACAAAGUUAUCAACUGAGGUAUGAUUGAAACUAUCUAAAAUUAAUAUGUUUUAUUUGUUUAUUAUUCCAUUCCUCAUCUAAUAUAUGUUUUUGUUUUGGCAUAUGAAGUUAAAUUGGAAGCUUGCUUAGGGAGGAAUGAAUCAGCAGUUAGUGUGACCAAAUAAAUAAUUAAUAUGUCCCUUACAUUGAGGUAAGCACGACUUCACAACUUAUACAUUAAGUUAAUAUUAACAUUGUCUAUUAGUCUUAUAUCAUUAUAUAAUGUGGAAAUUUUUUCCUAUUAGCAGGUUAAUAAAACUGCUCAAUGGACAUCAAUAAUGGACCGGACAUCUAACCAAAUUGUUAAGAGAUAUACUGUCAUAUCUGUCUUAGGAUGUCGAGCUUUCCCAUCUUUAAGAAUGAUGGAAAGAUGGUAACUACUCAAGUCAAAGCCCCUAGACAAGCAUAAAAUGUGUAGGUUCUGUCAAUUUUCUCCUCUUCGGUUUAUAAUGAUGGUAUAAAAUGUGUAUGUUCAUUUUUGCUAGCAGGUUGAAACUUAUGUUGAUCGUACCGAUUUCUUAUUUCAACCUAACUUCUCAAGAACCAGAAUGUGCCUCUCAAUGGCGUCUCCGAGUUUUAGGAGGCUACGUGCAAAAUAUAAAAGUGGUCCUUUAAUAAAAAAAAUUAUCGAUUUAAAUUGCAUAUAAUAUAUAUAAAAAAAAUAUUCUUAUUCUUGUAAAUAUGUAAAUUAUCAAUAUUAUUGCAUUAAAUGAAAUCAAAUAGGACAAGAAAUACAAAAUAAUUAUCUUUGUAUAUAAUGUCAAAAAGGAACAUCCUAAUCUAAGAUUAAAUUUUAUGCAACGAUUAAAAUGACUAGAACUAUAUUUACGAGUAUAGAUAACUAAUCUAUUGAUACUCAUGUGAUAUUUUAUGAACAUUAACAACUAGUAUUAUUUUAGGGCCUAAAAAUUAAUCUAUUAAUAUAGAUAUGCUAUUUUAUAGAUAUAAAUAAUAUAUAAGUAAUAUUAUAGAACCUCAAAAUUUUGAGUUGAGGCCCUCAAAAUUUUGAAGCUCGAUGCCGUCGCACAUGCCGCACAUGUGUGCAAGCCACCCGCUGGUGUCUCUACUCUUACAUUUUUUAAGUGCCUCUCGUAUAAUAUUUCAAUUUAGCUAGUCUCCUAAAUGUGUUUAUCUAAUUACCCUCUGAGGUUUAUUAUAAGGGUUCUGAAUUAUUUCUUGUUUCUAGCUGAAUUUAUAAAUAUGGUUUGCAGAAAUUUGAUUACAUAUUCACAUUUUACCUCCAUUGCUUGUUAGAAAAGUUAGAGUUUUUCAUGAUUUUGGUGUCGUUGAUAAGUGAUAACUAUUGGUAAUAUUGUGUGGUUCCUGUUUUACCAAUCUGCACAACCAGUAAAGCUUCUACCAUGAUAGCACAGGACACCUAUUAUACAGGGCUUGUCCUGUGUCCGACAUGUGCCUGCAAAGUCAUACCAUUUCAAUUGACAUUCCAAUUCACAAUUCUCAUAUAAUUUUCAUGACUAAUUGAACAAAUUAAGCAGAAGAAAUCAAACUUUUAACCAUAUAUGUUAAUAAAUAAAUGAUAACAAAUUAAUCAACCGAGUCUUCAAUGAAAUUUACUGAAUACUGAAGACUUCAACUAUGUAUUUAUUUUUUUCAUGAUAUGAUAUUAGUUACAACUAUAUAAAUGUCAUAAUUUAAUAUAAUGUUUAUUGAAAUUUUUGUAAUCACAACUAUGAUGGCAUCAACCACAUUUAUAUAAAAUUUAUGGGAGGAUAUCACAUAUUUUUUUUCUACUUAUAUCUACCUUCUUUUUGGUUCUUAUCAACUAUGAUGGCAUCAACCACGUUUAUUGAGGGAAGACUCAGCUCUCCUAAUAAACAAAACAUUCCUGUUGUAUUUAUCAUCCGUCAUUACUAAUAAAAAAAUAUGAAUAAACAAUCAUUAAAUUCUUAAACAAAAGAAGAACAAAUGCUUUGACCUUACAUUACAUCUUUGCAAACUAGAUCUGAUAUCUCUUAACAAAACACUCUGAAAACUUGUACCUGUCUGAAUUCACUUGUGACAAAAAUGGCUGAAGGUUUGUUGUUUAACACGAUUGAGAAGCUGAUCGGGAAGCUGGGUUCUAUGGCUGUGGAGACCUGGAACAUGAGAGAUGAUCUUGAAAAGCUGGUGGAAAACAUGUCUGAGAUCAAGGCUGUGGUUUUGGAUGCAGAGGAGCAGCAGAGCAACAGCCAUCAAGUUCAACUUUGGUUGGAAAAGCUCAAAG